ACUUGUCCCUCUCUCCCACCAUCCAGUGGAGGAGAAGGGAAAGAAAAGAAAAGAAAAAAAAAAAAUGGGACACUCAAAGAGUGAUGAAGCAAAGAGUACCACUACCACUGCCACUGAUGACGAAGGGGACCGUCUCAGUGCCCUUCCUUCGGAGCUCCUCCACCAAAUCCUCGCGUUCUUGCCAGACACCAAGUCACGUGCCCGCACGUGCGCCCUAUCCCGCCGUUGGAUCCGCCUCUGGGCAUCCCAUCCGUCCAUCGACCUCCCCCUUCUCUACCACCUUGACCUCGUCGCCGCCGCCACCUCUCACGCCGCCGCCGUCGACGCGGCCCUCUCCGCCGCCUCCCCCGGUACACUCCGUCGACUUGCCGUCGACCUCUGGCUCCCCUCCGGCCCUGACCUGCGCCCGUCCAACGCCGCCACUGUUGACCGUUGGUUCCGCGCCGCCGCCCGUUUAGCCGUCAGCGAACUCAGCAUCCAGGGCAAGUCCUUCCCCGCCGGCGGUGUCACCUCCUUGCCCAGCUCCAUCUACUCAUGCCGCACUCUCGCGUUUCUACAAAUCAAGAGCGUUGUCAUUCCUACUAUCCCUAGAAACUUCGAUGGCUUCCGUGCCCUCUCGACCCUGCUCCUCGAGCACGUCUCGAUCCAUACUCUCACCCUCGCCGCCAUCCUCGCUGCCUGCCCUCUUCUCCAGGUUUUUCAGAUGGAAGGGUUUCUUGGGGUGACUCGUCUUGAUGUUUCCCCGGAGAAGCUCCCGAAGCUCGCGAGCUUCGCUUUGUCUGAGUCUUAUGGUGCCCCGGUGACUGUCAACAUCGUCGCGCCGAAUAUCACCUCGAUCCUCUUCGUCGGCGAUCUUAAUCUUCUCUUCUGGAACGGUUCUCCUUGUCUGGUUGAUGCUACGCUGAGGAACAUCGCCAAAUUCAAGUUCAAGAGUGAGAGCUGCUGGCUGGGGCUUGUCUCUGCUGUUUCAAACGCUAAAAUUCUCACUUUGAACAAUUUGUUCUACCAGUUUGUGAUUCCGAGGAAGUUUGUCAAUGGAAUUCAUGAUGCCAUGUUCAAGAAUCUCCAUAAGUUGACCUGUGAGAUUGAUUGGGUUACUGGUCCUCUGCUUUCUAGCUUCAUCUGUAACGUCAAAGAGUGUCCACUGUUGGAGAGUCUCUGUAUAAGAUUUAACAGGGAGCUGAGGUUGAAGGCCAAGAACAAGAUGAAACGAAGUUUGGGUUUGUGUUAUUACAAAUCUUUUCUCCCUGCAGAACUUGUUAAAGCUGUGGAGGAGAAGUUUGAAAGGGACUAUGUGGAUCUGCCAGAAGUUUGUGGGGGACCAGGGAAUGCGUUAAAUUGUCUGAAGAUUCUUGCCAUUGAACACUUCAUGGGAACUAAGAAUGAAGUACUUCUAACAAAAUUUCUUCAGAAGAAUGCUGCUAAUUUGCAGAAAUUUACCAUUGAUGAUUUUUUUAUGCGUAGCAAUGAGGAGAUUCAUGAACUUUUAUAUCCCAUUCUAUCUAAUUCUGAUGAUGAGGAUGAUGAAGAAUAUGAUGAUGACUAUGAAGACACUGAUGAUGAUGAUGAUGACGAUGACGAUGGUGAUGGCGAUGAUGAUGAUGAUGACGACGACGAUGAUGAUGAUAAUGAUGAAGGUGAUGAUGAUGAUGAUGGUGAUGAUGAGAUGGAUUGGGCCCUAUAUGAAAAUCUCAACCAAAAUUUCCCAAUAGAUGCUCUAAGUGACAGUGUUGGAUCUGGAUAGAAAAAAAUAUUCAUUUUCUGGGAAUGGGAAAUUCUUUAUCUUUCUAAUGUCUGGGAUCUGGCCUGAAAGAUUGCCCGCCUGCUGGCAUUAGUAGCCAUGCUGUGGACUGCAGCAUUUUUGUAUUUCUUCUGGAAUGCAGAUUGACAAUCAAGGAAGGAGGCACUGAGUUUGAAUUCUUUUUGGUUUAAAAGAGUUCCUUCAAUGAUGGCCAUAUAUCAUAUUAAAAGACACCCCUAUAGCUUUUAGCAUUUGUAUGACCCAUUUUGUACAGCACUUUAUGUUUAGAAAUCUACCCAAAGAAAAGUUACGUCUUGUAAGCCUUAACAGACAGAUAUGCUGUUUUGUUAUAGCCUUGUAAAUCAAUAUAUAUAUAUAUAUAUAUAGUUAGGUUGUGUUUCAUAGAUGUUGCUUGAUGUCUGAGUAUUAUCUGAGCAUUGUCAAGCCUGAACUGAUACGAAGUCUUGUUAACGAUAUCCCUGCAUGCAAUAUAUUGAUAUUGAUCUGUCAAACUUAUAAGCAUUUUACUGCAGUCUGAUUUUGCUCAGCUAUAUUCUCUCCUUUAUGAU
Dioscorea cayenensis subsp. rotundata (Guinea yam) is the source of this 2310-nucleotide RNA transcript. It is a transcript of the gene named putative FBD-associated F-box protein At5g56560, with no coding region annotated. The record is from RefSeq and is a predicted model, not a curated record. Lineage: Eukaryota; Viridiplantae; Streptophyta; Magnoliopsida; Dioscoreales; Dioscoreaceae. The transcript has 5 exons.